AGUCGAACGGUAAGGCCCUUUCGGGGGUACACGAGUGGCGAACGGGUGAGUAACACGUGAGUAACCUGCCCUUGACUUCGGGAUAACAUUUGGAAACAGAUGCUAAUACCGGAUAUUCAACUUUGAACACAUGUUUUUUGUUGGAAAGUUCCGGCGGUCAGGGAUGGACUCGCGGCCUAUCAGCUUGUUGGUGAGGUAAUGGCUCACCAAGGCGUCGACGGGUAGCCGGCCUGAGAGGGCGACCGGCCACAUUGGGACUGAGAUACGGCCCAAACUCCUACGGGAGGCAGCAGUGGGGAAUAUUGCACAAUGGGCGAAAGCCUGAUGCAGCAACGCCGCGUGCGGGAUGACGGCCUUCGGGUUGUAAACCGCUUUCACUCAUGACGAAGCUUUUUGUGACGGUAGUGGGAGAAGAAGCACCGGCUAACUACGUGCCAGCAGCCGCGGUGAUACGUAGGGUGCGAGCGUUGUCCGGAUUUAUUGGGCGUAAAGAGCUUGUAGGCGGUUUGUCACGUCGGGAGUGAAAACUCAGGGCUUAACCCUGAGCCUGCUUCUGAUACGGGCAGACUUGAGGAAGGUAGGGGAGAAUGGAAUUCCUGGUGGAGCGGUGGAAUGCGCAGAUAUCAGGAGGAACACCAGUGGCGAAGGCGGUUCUCUGGACCUUUCCUGACGCUGAGAAGCGAAAGCGUGGGGAGCAAACAGGCUUAGAUACCCUGGUAGUCCACGCCGUAAACGGUGGGUACUAGGUGUGGGGGACAUUCCACGUUCUCCGUGCCGCAGCUAACGCAUUAAGUACCCCGCCUGGGGAGUACGGUCGCAAGACUAAAACUCAAAGGAAUUGA
Molecule: ribosomal RNA, 842 nt
Filed under: Tessaracoccus sp. P2
Lineage: Bacteria; Bacillati; Actinomycetota; Actinomycetes; Propionibacteriales; Propionibacteriaceae
Description: bacterial SSU rRNA
Rfam family: Bacterial small subunit ribosomal RNA
Source: RNAcentral